GACGAACGCUGGCGGCGUGCUUAACACAUGCAAGUCGAACGGAAAGGCCCUGCUUUUGCGGGGCGCUCGAGUGGCGAACGGGUGAGUAACACGUGAGUAACCUGCCCUUGACUUUGGGAUAACUUCAGGAAACUGGGGAUAAUACCGGAUAGGAGCUCUUGCUGCACGGUGGGGGUUGGAAAGUUUCGGCGGUUGGGGAUGGUCUCGCGGCUUAUCCGCUUGUUGGUGGGGUAGUGGCUUACCAAGGCUUUGACGGGUAGCCGGCCUGAGAGGGUGGCCGGCCACAAUGGGACUGAGGUACGGCCCAGACUCCUACGGGAGGCAACGGGGGGGAAUAUUGCGCAAUGGGCGGAAGCCUGAUGCAGCAACGCCGCGUGCGGGAUGACGGCCUUCGGGUUGUAAACCGCUUUCGCCUGUGACGAAGCGUGAGUGACGGUAAUGGGUAAAGAAGCACCGGCUAACUACGUG
RNAcentral lists this ribosomal RNA (468 nucleotides) under uncultured bacterium. RNAcentral's name for it is "partial 16S ribosomal RNA". It matches the Rfam family "Bacterial small subunit ribosomal RNA", at positions 28 to 507 of the family's 1533-position model. The record is from RNAcentral.